CCUGAUAUGGUCAUCCAUAUUGUAUUUCAAUUUUCAAAAUCCAUCACAUGGAUUACCCCGGCCAAGGUUUUAAUGACCUGAAACACACUAAUACAUUAACUCUUACUUAUUCGGAGGGGUCAAUUCUAUCUUGACUCACACACCAACUUCACAAGUAUUUGACUAUGCCCAGAAACCUUUCAUCAUCGAAUUAAAAAUUUAGAUAGUCUGGCACCAAAGCAUAGUGAGUUGCUUGCAAGUCACUGUGGUG
RNAcentral lists this long non-coding RNA (250 nucleotides) under Elaeis guineensis (African oil palm). Its description in RNAcentral is "long non-coding RNA (EGUI_LNC057735)". The record is from RNAcentral. Lineage: Eukaryota; Viridiplantae; Streptophyta; Magnoliopsida; Arecales; Arecaceae.